This 206-nucleotide unclassified non-coding RNA is filed under the name Hevea brasiliensis (rubber tree). Lineage: Eukaryota; Viridiplantae; Streptophyta; Magnoliopsida; Malpighiales; Euphorbiaceae. The record is from RNAcentral.
GUGGAAUACUGCAUUUGUGAUCACUUGAUAGGUUCCACACUACAGGCUGAGAAGUAUAUGCGGCUUUGAGACUAAGAUGCUUUCAAGGAGGUAGACAUGGCAGCCGGUUCGGUCUGGGUAGGUUCUGGGUCAGAAUUAACAAUUUUGAUUCAAUGGCUUAAGAGACUACGAUCAAAUCGCAAUGUUUUUUUGUGUUUUGAUUUUAA